GCGAGUCGAAUGUAGCAAUACAUGGCGAACUGCUCAGUAACACGUGGACAACCUGCCCUUAGGUUGGGUAUAAACCCGGGAAACUGGGUAUAAUACCCGAUAGGUCUCGAUUGCUGGAAUGCAUCGAGAUUUAAAGCUCCGGCGCCUAAGGAUGGGUCUGCGGCCUAUCAGGUAGUAGUGGGUGUAGCGUACCUACUAGCCUACGACGGGUACGGGUUGUGAGAGCAAGAGCCCGGAGAUGGAUUCUGAGACACGAAUCCAGGCCCUACGGGGUGCAGCAGGCGCGAAAACUUUACAAUGCUGGCAACAGCGAUAAGGGAACCUCGAGUGCCAGGUUACAAAUCUGGCUGUCGAGAUGCCUAAAAAGCAUUUCAUAGCAAGGGCCGGGCAAGACCGGUGCCAGCCGCCGCGGUAACACCGGCGGCUCGAGUGGUAACCGUUAUUAUUGGGUCUAAAGGGUCUGUAGCCGGCCGGAUAAGUCUCUUGAGAAAUCUGGCAGCUUAACUGUCAGGCUUUCAGGAGAUACUGUCUGGCUCGAGGCCGGGAGAGGUGAGAGGUACUUCAGGGGUAGGGGUGAAAUCUUGUAAUCCUUGAAGGACCACCAGUGGCGAAGGCGUCUCACCAGAACGGACCUGACGGCAAGGGACGAAAGCUAGGGGCACGAACCGGAUUAGAUACCCGGGUAGUCCUAGCCGUAAACGAUACUCGCUAGGUGUCGGCCACGGUGCGACCGUUGUCUGUGCCGUAGGGAAGCCGUGAAGCGAGCCACCUGGGAAGUACGGCCGCAAGGCUGAAACUUAAAGGAAUUGGCGGGGGAGCACCACAACGGGUGGAGCUUGCGGUUUAAUUGGAUUCAACGCCGGA
RNAcentral lists this ribosomal RNA (864 nucleotides) under uncultured archaeon. Its description in RNAcentral is "bacterial SSU rRNA". It matches the Rfam family "Archaeal small subunit ribosomal RNA", at positions 53 to 922 of the family's 1478-position model. The record is from RNAcentral.